UAUAAGGUCUGACCUGCCCAAUGAGGAUUUAAAUGGCCGCAGUAUUUUGACUGUGCAAAGGUAGCAUAAUUAUUAGUUUUUUAAUUGAGAACUUGUAUGAAGGGUCGGACGAGAUAAAAACUGUCUUUAUCUAAAUUAAAAUAGAAUUUAACUUUUAAGUCAAAAGGCUUAAAUGUUUAUAAUAGACGAGAAGACCCUAUAGAUCUUUAUUUAAUUAAUAUUUUAAUAAUUUAGGAUUAUUUUAAUUUAAAAUUUUAAUUGAAUUUUAUUGGGGUAAUAUAAAGAUUAAAUUAAUUCUUUUUAUUAAUUACAUUUAUUUAUGAUUAAAUGAUCCAAUAUUAUUGAUUAUAAGAUUAAGUUACCUUAGGGAUAACAGCGUAAUUUUUUUGGAGAGCUCAUAUCGAUAAAAAAGUUUGCGACCUCGAUGUUGGAUUAAAAAUUAUCUUGGGUGUAGAAGCUCAAGAUUUUGGUCUGUUCGACCAUUAAAUUUUUACAUGAUCUGAGUUCAAACCGGCGUAAGCCAGGUCGGUUUCUAUCUUUAUUWAAWUAAAAUAUUUUAGUACGAAAGGACCAAAUAUUUGAUAUAAUUAUAUUUUUUAUAUGAAUAAUAUU
RNAcentral lists this ribosomal RNA (612 nucleotides) under Cicindela japonica. Its description in RNAcentral is "partial 16S ribosomal RNA". It matches the Rfam family "Bacterial large subunit ribosomal RNA", at positions 1844 to 2739 of the family's 2925-position model. Lineage: Eukaryota; Metazoa; Arthropoda; Insecta; Coleoptera; Carabidae. The record is from RNAcentral.